GAUGAACGCUGGCGGCGUGCCUAAUACAUGCAAGUCGAGCGAACGGACGAGAAGCUUGCUUCUCUGAUGUUAGCGGCGGACGGGUGAGUAACACGUGGAUAACCUACCUAUAAGACUGGGAUAACUUCGGGAAACCGGAGCUAAUACCGGAUAAUAUUUUGAACCGCAUGGUUCAAAAGUGAAAGACGGUCUUGCUGUCACUUAUAGAUGGAUCCGCGCUGCAUUAGCUAGUUGGUAAGGUAACGGCUUACCAAGGCAACGAUACAUAGCCGACCUGAGAGGGUGAUCGGCCACACUGGAACUGAGACACGGUCCAGACUCCUACGGAAGGCAGCAGUAGGGAAUCUUCCGCAAUGGGCGAAAGCCUGACGGAGCAACGCCGCGUGAGUGAUGAAGGUCUUCGGAUCGUAAAACUCUGUUAUUAGGGAAGAACAUAUGUGUAAGUAACUGUGCACAUCUUGACGGUACCUAAUCAGAAAGCCACGGCUAACUACGUGCCAGCAGCCGCGGUAAUACGUAGGUGGCAAGCGUUAUCCGGAAUUAUUGGGCGUAAAGCGCGCGUAGGCGGUUUUUUAAGUCUGAUGUGAAAGCCCACGGCUCAACCGUGGAGGGUCAUUGGAAACUGGAAAACUUGAGUGCAGAAGAGGAAAGUGGAAUUCCAUGUGUAGCGGUGAAAUGCGCAGAGAUAUGGAGGAACACCAGUGGCGAAGGCGACUUUCUGGUCUGUAACUGACGCUGAUGUGCGAAAGCGUGGGGAUCAAACAGGAUUAGAUACCCUGGUAGUCCACGCCGUAAACGAUGAGUGCUAAGUGUUAGGGGGUUUCCGCCCCUUAGUGCUGCAGCUAACGCAUUAAGCACUCCGCCUGGGGAGUACGACCGCAAGGUUGAAACUCAAAGGAAUUGACGGGGACCCGCACAAGCGGUGGAGCAUGUGGUUUAAUUCGAAGCAACGCGAAGAACCUUACCAAAUCUUGACAUCCUUUGACAACUCUAGAGAUAGAGCCUUCCCCUUCGGGGGACAAAGUGACAGGUGGUGCAUGGUUGUCGUCAGCUCGUGUCGUGAGAUGUUGGGUUAAGUCCCGCAACGAGCGCAACCCUUAAGCUUAGUUGCCAUCAUUAAGUUGGGCACUCUAAGUUGACUGCCGGUGACAAACCGGAGGAAGGUGGGGAUGACGUCAAAUCAUCAUGCCCCUUAUGAUUUGGGCUACACACGUGCUACAAUGGACAAUACAAAGGGCAGCGAAACCGCGAGGUCAAGCAAAUCCCAUAAAGUUGUUCUCAGUUCGGAUUGUAGUCUGCAACUCGACUACAUGAAGCUGGAAUCGCUAGUAAUCGUAGAUCAGCAUGCUACGGUGAAUACGUUCCCGGGUCU
Molecule: ribosomal RNA, 1372 nt
Filed under: uncultured bacterium
Lineage: Bacteria
Description: bacterial SSU rRNA
Rfam family: Bacterial small subunit ribosomal RNA
Source: RNAcentral